UACCCUACGGAUGCUCAGGUCCGCCGCAUCUCCUGGGUCCCGUGGGGUUCGGCCGGCUCGGGAACGGCCGGAGUGGCCUCCUCGCAGGCCGCUCCCAGCCGGCCACCU
RNAcentral lists this small RNA (108 nucleotides) under uncultured Alsobacter sp. Its description in RNAcentral is "EcpR1". It matches the Rfam family "EcpR1". Rfam says of the family: Perviously named SmelC291, SmrC10, or Sra33. According to its overproduction phenotype it was renamed Elongated Cell Phenotype RNA1. The record is from RNAcentral. Lineage: Bacteria; Pseudomonadati; Pseudomonadota; Alphaproteobacteria; Hyphomicrobiales; Alsobacteraceae.